GGCCUAUUAGCUCAGUUGGUUAGAGCGUGGUGCUAAUAACGCCAAGGUCGCAGGUUCGAGACCUGCAUGGGCCA
Vigna angularis (adzuki bean) is the source of this 74-nucleotide transfer RNA. It matches the Rfam family "tRNA". Rfam says of the family: Transfer RNA (tRNA) molecules are approximately 80 nucleotides in length. Their secondary structure includes four short double-helical elements and three loops (D, anti-codon, and T loops). The record is from Rfam. Lineage: Eukaryota; Viridiplantae; Streptophyta; Magnoliopsida; Fabales; Fabaceae.